UAAGCGUGCGCAGGCGGUUAUAUAAGACAGAUGUGAAAUCCCCGGGCUCAACCUGGGAACUGCAUUUGUGACUGUAUAGCUGGAGUGCGGCAGAGGGGGAUGGAAUUCCGCGUGUAGCAGUGAAAUGCGUAGAUAUGCGGAGGAACACCGAUGGCGAAGGCAAUCCCCUGGGCCUGCACUGACGCUCAUGCACGAAAGCGUGGGGAGCAAACAGGAUUAGAUACCCGAGU
Molecule: ribosomal RNA, 230 nt
Filed under: uncultured bacterium
Lineage: Bacteria
Description: partial 16S ribosomal RNA
Rfam family: Bacterial small subunit ribosomal RNA
Source: RNAcentral